This 468-nucleotide ribosomal RNA is filed under the name uncultured bacterium. RNAcentral's name for it is "partial 16S ribosomal RNA". It matches the Rfam family "Bacterial small subunit ribosomal RNA", at positions 28 to 507 of the family's 1533-position model. The record is from RNAcentral.
GACGAACGCUGGCGGCGUGCUUAACACAUGCAAGUCGAACGGAAAGGCCCUGCUUUUGUGGGGUGCUCGAGUGGCGAACGGGUGAGUAACACGUGAGUAACCUGCCCUUGACUUUGGGAUAACUUCAGGAAACUGGGGCUAAUACCGGAUAGGAGCUCCUGCUGCAUGGUGGGGGUUGGAAAGUUUCGGCGGUUGGGGAUGGACUCGCGGCUUAUCAGCUUGUUGGUGGGGUAGUGGCUUACCAAGGCUUUGACGGGUAGCCGGCCUGAGAGGGUGACCGGCAACAUUGGGACUGAGAUACGGCACAGACUCCUACGGGAGGCAGCAGUGGGGAAUAUUGCACGAUGGGCGGAAGCCUGAUGCAGCAACGCCGCGUGCGGGAUGACGGCCUUCGGGUUGUAAACCGCUUUCGCCUGUGACGAAGCGUGAGUGACGGUAAUGGGUAAAGAAGCACCGGCUAACUACGUG